Molecule: non-coding RNA, 676 nt
Organism: Cyprinodon tularosa
Lineage: Eukaryota; Metazoa; Chordata; Actinopteri; Cyprinodontiformes; Cyprinodontidae
Source: the annotation of a RefSeq genome assembly
GCAUUGUGUCAAUAAUAAGUGUUGCUGUGAAGAGAACAAUAGUCAGACUGAAUGUUGAACAUCAGCUAGUUUCUCCUGCUGAUUUAAACCUUGUUGGACAGAUGGAACAUUGGCUGUGGAUUAUUCUAGCUGCUCUUUUCUUUGAGUGUAAAGGAGACUCAGUGACGCAGACAGAAGGACAUGUUGCUGCUGCUCAGGGAGAAUCUGUGACUCUGGGAUGUACCUUUGAGACCAUUUCUACAAAUUAUGCUCUGUUAUGGUAUAAACAACAAGGCCAAGGUGUUCCAAAGUACAUGCUCAAGGAAUAUAUUAAAAGAAGUGACAAUGCUCCAGAGUUCAAUAGAAACCGAUUUACUGCUCAGGUCAAUAAAUCAGCCUUCGAUCUGACGAUCCAGGAUCUCCGUCUGUCAGACUCUGCUGUGUACUACUGUGCUCUGCAGCCCACAGUGACAGGAAACACCAGAACUCUGUACAAGAACCUGCAAAACAAGGACAAAACAAUGCAUCCUAUCAUCCACUAGGGGGGCUCCUAAAGCAGGCUUUAAGAACAUGUAAUAAAGAUGGUUAUGGAGGGUGUCAAGUGCCAUUAUAAAGUAAAUUACUUAUGAAAUAACCAUUUAGAUGUGUCACUUAAAUUGAGUAGUGAAUUUAUUUUAAAUGUAUGUAAUUAUUUUUA